This 122-nucleotide ribosomal RNA is filed under the name Pogona vitticeps (central bearded dragon). The record is from RNAcentral. Lineage: Eukaryota; Metazoa; Chordata; Lepidosauria; Squamata; Agamidae.
UAUUGACUUAAUGCACCUUUUAAACCACAGCUGAUCUCAUCCGAUUUUGGGAAGCUAAGCAGGGCUGGGCCUGGUCAGGACUUGGAUGGGAGGCCACGAGUGAUCUCCAGGUAGGUCUAAAA